ACUUUUCUUCAGAGUUCACCCCCCCUCUGCCAUUGGCUAUCUGAAGCUUUUAUCUAUUGUUUUCUCUAGAUUAUUUAAUCAUUUAUGCAAUUUUAUUUCACCACUGUUUACCUGAGGCAAAGUCUAAACCUGACUCACUUACCAACAGCUCCCAGCUGAUUCUGAUGAGUGCUUUCCCAAAGGAUAUUGAAAGCUCUGUAUAAAAGAAGCUCUCACUCCCUAGCCUCUGCUGGUGUUUGGAGAAUAAUGAGUGCUCAGGAAAAGGGCUUCAAGCUGUGUAAGUUAGGGCUUCAUAUCGUUUGAGACCCUUUGGGAGUCUUUAUUUUGUUUACAACGUGUCAGUAGAACAAAAUGUGUGAAGGCCUAAUCUUGAAUGCUUACAAAGGAAGAGACAACCUUCUCCUGCACUUUCCUUCCAAUGGAGUGGCUAACUCUUUAAACACCACAGGGCGUGAGUGUCCAAGCUUGUGGCUUGCCUGGGCCAUACUAAGAAAAGAGGAAUUGUCUUGUGCUGUAUCUACAUAUGUUGCUCCAAAAGUAAUGCCUCCUAUUUAUUUCCAUGGUAAAUACAACUGAUUUGAAAGAGCACCAUAACAAUAUUUGAUAGAGUGAAUUCUCAGCUACAAAACACUAUUUUCCAACAUAGUCUGCACCAUUAGCUGUGCAUUUUUGCCAGCAAUUAACAACAACCUCUGUUGCCAUACUCAUAAUAAUCUGCAGCAGCAAAGGUGACUCUCUGCUGAAAUGCACCAGCCUCUGCCUCGCUGUGCUGACCAAAGGCAGCUCCCUCAGCCAGCCCUGGGAUGCCAGGUGUGCUGUCUCUCCCCAGCCCUGAGGCCCUGGGCUCUCACCCCAUAUGGCCACGUCUUUCCCAUGCUGGAGUGACCAGGAGCAGGCACAGGAAUCCACACACAGACUCGCAAGCUCCAAAAAACAGAGGAACGUUUAUUGGUUUUGGUAAUUUUGUGGGAUGGGAUCUUUUUUAAUAUUGUUUGUGUGCUUUUUCUUUUCUACUCUCUUUGUUUUGAUUCGUUUAUUGUUCAAUGUUGAACAGACAUCCUUAUUCUGAGCCUCGCCCUUCUUCCCAUCAGCACCAAAGUUUUCUGUUCCUCCAUAGCAGCAGCCACUUCUGUACCAGCUCUGAGCCCUCCUCACAGCCCCAGGCAGCUCGGGUCCAUCCUCCAGACUCCUCCUGUUGCCCCAGCACAGCAGCUCAGAGGAUGCCGGUCAGAGGAUGCUGGAGUUCUGGGCACAGGGUCCCCGUACUUAUAGGACUUGGAAUCAAAGGCUGAAUCUUGACAUCAGUAGGGCAUGGUGAUGCCAUUCUAACAGAGGAAGGAUAGAGAUGCUGAGGGCUGUUCUCCUGGUGAAGGCUCCCCCAUGCCAUUUUGCUUGCUGAAGAGAAUGGUCUCCUGUUAGGCAUAGGCAUCCACUGGGGCUCCAGCCACCUUCUCAUUCCAAGCAUGGGAUCCCUUGGAUGAGAGGAUGGCAAAUGUGUCCCAUGAGGUCUGGGGAGGGUCUGCACUAUUCUGACCCAGCUGCCUGCAAGUGGAGCCUCCUGGACGUGGAGCUGCUGCUGUCACUGGGGCAGAAGCAGUUUGCACAGCAGUGUGAGGGGCUGAGCAGCAAUCAACCAGUUGGGCUGGGUGCGUUUGCCAGGCAGCUCUGCAGAUGCUGUGAGUGAAGAGACGGGGAUCUUUGAUCCUUGGUAGAAAUCAGAUCCCUGAGAGAUCACAGCCAGCUUGUUCUGCUACCUGAGAUAAAGUGUUGAAGCAGGUGGGUCAUGUGAGCUGUGGUACCUCCAAAGACUCUUCUGGGUGCAUCUGUAUCUCGUGUGGCUCCAAAAUCCUUCAGUCAUAGUUCAUGUAAAAAUCACACUCCUGGAUGAGAAAAUGUUCGUGCACUGUCCUCUGCAAGCCACGUGCAACCUUCUUUGUUUCUCUAUCAAUAUUUAUUUAUUUAUCAGAAUGGGUUUUAAAAGUCUUCUAAGCCGUGAUACAGUUGAAUUUAAAAAUAA
Molecule: long non-coding RNA, 2017 nt
Organism: Tympanuchus pallidicinctus (lesser prairie-chicken)
Lineage: Eukaryota; Metazoa; Chordata; Aves; Galliformes; Phasianidae
Exons: 4
Source: RefSeq, a predicted model, not a curated record